Molecule: ribosomal RNA, 425 nt
Filed under: uncultured bacterium
Lineage: Bacteria
Description: partial 16S ribosomal RNA
Rfam family: Bacterial small subunit ribosomal RNA
Source: RNAcentral
GUGGGGAAUAUUGGACAAUGGGCGAAAGCCUGAUCCAGCCAUGCCGCGUGAGUGAUGAAGGCCUUAGGGUUGUAAAGCUCUUUCAGGAGGGAAGAUAAUGACGGUACCUACAGAAGAAGCCCCGGCUAACUUCGUGCCAGAAGCCGCGGUAAUAAGAAGGGGGCUAGCGUUGUUCGGCUUUACUGGGCGUAAAGCGCACGUAGGCGGAUUGGUCAGUUAGAGGUGAAAUCCUGGAGCUCAACUCCAGAACUGCCUUUAAUACUGCCAGUCUAGAGUCCAGAAGAGGUGAGUGGAACUCUUAGUGUAGAGGUGGAAUUCGUAGAUAUUAGGAAGAACACCAGUGGCGAAGGCGGCUCACUGGUCUGGUACUGACGCUGAGGUGCGAAAGCGUGGGGAGCAAACAGGAUUAGAAACCCGGGUAGUCC